CCUACGGGUGGCAGCAGUGGGGAAUAUUGCUCAAUGCGCGUAAGCCUGAAGCAGCAACGCCGCGUGGAGGACGCAGGCUUUCGGAUUGUUAACUCCUUUUGUUAGAGAAGAAAAUGCCUGUAUCUAACGAAUAAUCACGUGUUCACGCCGUGACAGCAGCCGCGGUAUUACUGCGGGUGCACGCGUUACUCGGAAUGCCUGGGCGGAAAGAGCGCGUAGGCGGGAUAGCAAGUCAGAUGUGAAAUCCUAGCGCUUAACCUUAGAACUGAUUUUGAUACUGUGAUUCUAGAGUAUGGGAGAGGUAGGUGGAAUGCUUGGUGUAGGGGUAAAAUGCGUAGAGAUCAGGAGGAAUACUGAUUGCGAAGGCGGCCUUCUGG
RNAcentral lists this ribosomal RNA (377 nucleotides) under uncultured bacterium. RNAcentral describes it as "partial 16S ribosomal RNA". It matches the Rfam family "Bacterial small subunit ribosomal RNA", at positions 338 to 732 of the family's 1533-position model. The record is from RNAcentral.